This is a non-coding RNA of Sus scrofa (pig), 525 nucleotides long. The record is from RefSeq and is a predicted model, not a curated record. Lineage: Eukaryota; Metazoa; Chordata; Mammalia; Artiodactyla; Suidae.
AGGAAGUGGGGUGAGAGAGUGACGUGUGGUGGCCCGAGAGCCGGCCUACCAAUGACAGAGCGGCGAGACACGGCGAGAACCAACAGGAGCGGAGUGAGAGGUUCUCCACCCAAUUGGAGCCGUGUCCACACCUUCUAGGGCCCACUGCUGAGCUGAUGGAAGAACAAGAAGAGUCUGGAUACCUGGGUACCAGCCUGCCCGUAGGCAAGUCAUUUUACCCCAUAAGUCUCUGGUUUCCUCAUCCAUAAAGUGAAACAUCAAUACAAAGCUCACAGAAUUGCUGGUGCCCUAGUAAAGAACCUGGAAGGGUAGAAGGAAAGUUUUUUCCUCCGCUACAUCACAGCAUUACCUUACAGUGUUUGAAGAGGCAGUUCCUCUGCAAAGGAACCGUUCAAAAAUGUGGAUCUAAAUAAUAAAGAAAAUGUUUAUAAAUUUACAUAUAUAAUUUGCUUAGAAACUAAAAAAAAUGCAUGCAACUCAGGUUAAAGAUGAAAUCAUAAAAUAUUUAUUCUGGAAAAUAAUGGA